UUGUCUGGUCCAUGCUCUAGCUCUGUUCACUACACAAAACAGUUGCGCAGACCCGGGGCCCGUUCUUCGUACGUCGCUAACUCGGUUAGCUGGAUUUGAUUGUUGACGAUUUGGCAUGAUCUUGGAUUGUUUGGUUCUUCGAAGCUCAUCCUGGACUUGCUGUCAUAGCAACAGACUGCACACAGGUCCCCAUCAAGGCCCCACCUGGCCCAAAUGAAGGGGAUUUUUUGAACAGAAAGGGAUUUCACAGUGUAAAUGUGCAAGUAAAUUACUAUAACAAUUAUACAUAUUCCAGAUAAGCAAUAAAUAAAUAAAAGUAACGUAAUCAAAAAGUAUGCAGACUGAUUUCAAAUAUUUUAGAUGGUGUGCGACUCCAUGUUCCACAUCACAAAUGUGGAAGCCACAUGGCCUGGUUCUGUGGGUGACUCCAAGAUUUUCAGAGAGUCACAUUUAUGCACAUUAUUUGAACGUGGUAAGGAAAAAUUAUUUAAAACUCACUGUAUUACAUAAUUUUAUUCUGAGCCUAUCAAAACUGCAUUUUCCCAGGUGCUGACGAUGGGAUCCUGUUUGGCGACAGGGGCUAUGCCUUCAGGCAGGCAGUACUUCAUGGCACCAUUCCCUGGACCACAAACCCGUUACAAUGCAACUUUCAUUAAAUGAAUAAUAGAAGACAACAUGCUUAGUUCAUGGAGUUUUAUUUCAAUGAUUGUUUCUCAAGAAAAGCCAGUGAUGGUCAUCUUUUGCCUGCAAUAAGAUAUAUAGUUAUCCAAGGGCAGCAAUAGUGCUCUUUGUGAAAAAUAGGGUUUAAGCAAUUACUCUGAAGUUUCUUUUGAAGCAACUCAAUCUCUAGUGCCAGUUUUUUCUUCUUUAAGGUGUCAAGUUCAAUUUCUCCCCUUAAUUUUUGUUUUUUUAAGAGCAAAAUACUCAAUUUUAUGUUGAAGAUUCUGUUUAUAUAGGGUACGGAUAUCCCCCUGUGCCAUUAAAAAAAAAAAAAACUCAACAAGCCUCAUGCAACAGAAAAAGGAAAAGUAGACUGCCGACCUCUGUAUAUUUUUGUGCUGUAGGCCUGUCUGUAGGCGUUUCCUCCUCCUAUAUUGCAGUCAGAAAUAAUGUGUCCACACCUAUAAAUUAAAUAAAGUUAUUUGUGCACUUACAAGUAAUUCCUCCAAAGGACAGUCAUCUGAGAGGGUUUCUUCACUGUCCUGUGCAAAAGAAAAAUGGGUUUUACAAAGUGUUGCACUUUCUUUCCUUUUGAUGUAAAGUUAUAAAUGUCCACUUACUGCACAUAUUUCAGACACCACUUUCUUGGGAACAGAUAA
Molecule: RNA transcript, 1319 nt
Organism: Triplophysa dalaica
Lineage: Eukaryota; Metazoa; Chordata; Actinopteri; Cypriniformes; Nemacheilidae
Gene name: putative nuclease HARBI1
Exons: 2
Source: RefSeq, a predicted model, not a curated record